UUUCGCUGUAAAGCCUUUUUGAAAUCGGACAGUGUGGUUAGAUAAAGGAGAAUCUUGUCUUUAAAAUGCUGUAAAAUAGUCAUAUGUUUGAAAAAUUGAAGUUUUUGUAUUUUUGAGGAAUUUGUAAUUCGCACCACGCCUAUCAUUAGAUAUUGGAGCAGGUGUUCCGCUAGCGGAACGUCUAGAUGUAAGAGGUUAUGUUACUGUUAAUUUGCACUAAGUAAAACAAAUAAAUUAGGGUUGUAGUUGUUCAUGAAUACUUUUCCACAUGGAUUUGGUUUCCUUUUGUUGGCAGUCAAUCUUUUUAAGGGUAGUGAUAAUCAGUUUAGUGUUUUGCUAAUUUGUCCCAAAACACUGUUAUUUAACUAUCUAAGACCCAGUUACCUUGCCGUGUUGUGCAUGCCAACCAGGUGAGAAUCACCAGAAUUAACUGUGAUACUUGGUGAAUCAGGUCUUCUCUGCUGCUUUAACAGCCUCCCCUUUGCCCACUCCAAGCUCCUCUUCAUGGUUCCCUUCUGCAUGACACAAUUGUGUGAAAAUAAAGCGGAAGGAAUGGGAACCGUAUUCCUUUGAAGCAGUAGUAUAUAGUACUGUGUAUAUGCCUAAAGUUGUUAUUUUACCCUAAUAGGCUCAGAUGGAAUGUAAAUAUUCCAAAAACAAAGUGAACGUGCACAUUAAAGUUUAAUCUGUUCGAAAGCUGAAAUGUUGUAGAUGUUAGCAAAGGUUUCACAAGGUUGUCACUGGCCAAAUUUGCUUUAUGUGAGCUUUUCAGUGUCUUCAUGCUAAUCGUGAGCUAGUGCAGCUAACGCUAGCAUUGAAAUGACAGCCAGUCAGGCUGAAGAAGUUGCCUACCUUCAGCUGUUGUUUUGCUAUUACAAGGCUAUGGGUUAAAAACGUAACUCGAUGUCCUGCUUCAGUACUAGCCGAAAAGUCACAUUUAGGGAGCUUUCUUCCUUUAGUCAAUAAUAAAGCAAAAUACAGACAACAUAGUCCAAAAAUCAACAACUACCAGGAUUUUGAGCAGGAUGUUUUUGGAGUACCUCCAUUGUCUAAUCUAUGUAUACCUGGCCCUGCAUUCAAGCAACAAUCUUGCUAGUAUGUAAUUUACCUUAAUAGUAUUAACAUAGUUCAAUAAUCACACCCUGAUCUGUUUCACCUGUCUUUGUGAUUGUCUCCACCCCCCUCCAGUUGUCGCCCAGCUUCCCCAUUAUCCCCUGUGUAUUUAUAACAGUGUUCUCUGUUUGUCUGUUGCCAGUUCGUUUUGUUUUGUCAAACCUUCCAGCGGUUUUCCCUCUGUUCCUAUCUCUCGAUUGUUCCUGUUGUCUAGUUUUCCCGGUGUUGACCAUUUCUGCCUGCCCUGACUGAGCCUGCCUGCCGUCCUGUACCUUUGCCCCUUUGUUCCAUAUCCAGUGUGCGCUCUGAACGCUUUGAGAGCGAAACUCUCUGAAUUUAAGAAUGGAUAUAUUGACAACGUGCUGAAUUUACGAACACCCAGAUUGCACUCUGAGUGGACUCUGGCAAUCCAGACUGAAUUUACGAACAUACCAAUGGUGGUGAGCUCGAUGUGUCAUGAGUUUGUGCUAAAAGCAUUGUGCUUAUUUAUACAUAUUGUACAUAGUUAAUGAGAAACUAGGUUGGAUGAGAGACAUGGAAAAAUGCAAAGAAAAAUGAAUAUUUAAAGAACAACAACCUGAGGUUCAAGGAGGACCUAUGGGUAUGUUCCAUAACCAGUAGAUGGUGGUACAGGCUUUCAAAGAGGUAACACACAGCCUAUAAAAAGCCAGGAGUCUGCUAGUGGGGUGGAGACUAGACUCUCUCAUCCAUGAUCCAACACAUGGCUCCUAUAGCUGAUGUGGCUUUCCUACAGGAGGACAUUUUUCUGUCAGCAUUACGGAAAAAAACAAAUGUCUCGGCUACUUCAGCAGAGGAACUUACAAUCAUCAAAGAAAUGAGAAGAGCAAAGUAUGUUAUGGAAGCUGUGUUGUGUGAUUCUACUCAUCAUCCAGAGGGAUACAGAAAGAUGCCGGUGGGCGGAGUUGGAAGGGUCGUCAGCUAAAUGGGAAGCACCUGGGCUCGGGUGUGUCCCAGGAUAAAGAGACCUCUUCCCUAGUCAUUGGGGAGACUCUCUCCAUGCAGACACCUUGUUGUUUUUGGAUGUGCUAGUUGUGGUAUCUAAUAAAUAUAUAUUUUUGAUACUCCUUGUCUCCCUUUUGUUGCGAACUCAGAGCCGGUUCGUAACAAGUGGGAGCUCGUCUGGGAUCUUGAACUUGUGUUUGGGAGAAAACAUGGAGGUAUGUUAAAUUCUGUAGGUGCUUUGUUUGCAUAUUUUGUUAGUUUGAGUUUGGUGCUCAGUACUGGUUGCCUUUGGUUUGUGUGCUGUGUUGGAGAGAGUACAUUGGUUGGUUUCCAGGCCCCUGCCCAGCCUGGAAACGCUUGUUCUACUUACUGUUGGGACAUUGGUCUGAGGAGGUGAGUGUAAUCAGCUGUGUACCUCAGUGGGAGAUUUGGAUAGGGUAGUAAACCUUACUACCCGGAGCUAUAGCUUUUUUCCCCUGAUCGGCUUAGCGACGUGUUUCAUUUUGGAAUAUGUUGGGCUUUGUUAAUGUUUGUUAUUUUUGUGUGGUGUCUGUGGACUAAGCAGUUGUCUCGGGGGCACAUCUGUGGCUUGGUGGAAUCUACCAGCGUGCUGGGGGGUUACUUCCUUGCCAGCGGGCAACAGUGCAUAAUUACCCACUGCAAAUCUGCAUGAAGACUAGGGUUGAGUUAUUGUAGGUUUUGGGGAAGCUCCAUUUCGCAUCUCUUUUCUGUGGUGCCCGGUGUGACUAUUUUCUCUUGUUGUGGGCUGGUGUGCUCAGCAUGAACCGUUGGAGUGGCUAUGAACCGUUGGAGUGGCUAUGAACCAUUGGGAGAUGUUGUUUGUAGCUGAUGCGGUCUCGUGUGCCCUGUUCCUGAGUGUUAUGUGACUGACCUUUGUCAUGUUCUAACUUUCCUGUCGGUUCCCUCCUGGUCUUGUGUUCUUCUUUCCUCUUAAAUGUUGCUUCCUGUGCGCAAAGGUUGCUGAGGUCUGGGGAGAAGGAUGUUGGCUGGGGCAAGUGGAAGGUGAACAUGUAACCCCUCAUCAUUUUGGGACGCAGAGGCUUGUGUCAAUUUGGGACGCAGACUGAAACGGGUUUCCCUCAAGAAUUUCCCUGUAUUUAGUGCUAUCCAUUAUUCCUUAAAGUUCUGACCAGUUUCCCAGUCCCUGCCAAUGAAAAACAUCCCUACAGGCUGAUACUGCCACCACCAUGCUUCAUUGUGGGGAUGGUAUUCUCGGGGUGAUGUGAGGUGUUGGGUUUGCGCCAGACAUAGCGUUUUCCUUGAUGGCCAAAAAGUUUCAUUUUAGUUUCAUCUGACCAGAGUAACUUUUUCUGUAUGUUUGGGGAGUCUCCCACAUGCCUUUUGGUGAACACCAAACGUGUUUUUUUUCUUUAAGUAAUGGAUUUUUUUCUGGCCACUUCUGUAAAGCCCAACUCUGUGGAGUGUACUGCUUUAAGUGGUCCUAUGGACAGAUACUCCAAUCUCCACAAAGCUCCACAUCUCCUUCAGAGUUAUCUUCUGUCUCUUUGUUGCCUCUCUGAUUAAUGCCCUCCUUGCCUGGUCUGUGCAUUUUGGUGGGCGGCCCUCUUUUGGCAGGUUUGUUGUGGUACCAUAUUCUUUCAAUUUUUUUAAUAAUGUAUUUAAUGGUGCUCCGUGGGAUGUUCAAAGUUUCUGAUAUUUUUUUAUAACCCAACCCUGAUCUGUUUUUCUCCACAACUUUGUCCCUGACCUGUUUGGAGAGCUUUUUGGUCUUCAUGGUGCUGCUUGCUUGGUGGUGCACCUUGCUUAUUGGUGUUGCAGACUCUGGGGCCUUUCAGAACAGGUGUGUGUAUAUAUACUGAGAUCAUGUGACAGAUCAUGUGAAACUUAGAUUGCACACGGGUGGACUUUAUUGAACGAAUUAUGUGACGCCUAAAGGUAAUUGGUUGCACCAGAUCUUAUUUAGGGGCUUCACAGCAAAGGGGGUGAAUACAUAUGCACGCACCACUUUUCCUUUACAUUUUUUAUUUAAAAAAUGUAAACAAGUUUUUUUUUUUUUUUUUUUUUUUCACUUCACCAAUUUGGACUAUUUUGUGUGUUCAUUACAUGAAAUCAAAAUAAAAAUCCAUUUAAAUUACAGGUUGUAACGCC
This is a long non-coding RNA of Salmo salar (Atlantic salmon), 4206 nucleotides long. RefSeq lists it as uncharacterized. NCBI's taxonomy places the organism in Eukaryota, Metazoa, Chordata, Actinopteri, Salmoniformes, Salmonidae. The record is from RefSeq and is a predicted model, not a curated record.